RNAcentral lists this ribosomal RNA (447 nucleotides) under uncultured bacterium. RNAcentral describes it as "bacterial SSU rRNA". It matches the Rfam family "Bacterial small subunit ribosomal RNA", at positions 329 to 793 of the family's 1533-position model. The record is from RNAcentral.
UGCCAGACUCCUACGGGAGGCAGCAGUGGGGGAUAUUGCACAAUGGGGGGAACCCUGAUGCAGCGACGCCGCGUGGGUGAAGAAGCGCCUCGGCGCGUAAAGCCCUGUCAGCAGGGAAGAAAAUGACGGUACCUGAAGAAGAAGCCCCGGCUAACUACGUGCCAGCAGCCGCGGUAAUACGUAGGGGGCAAGCGUUAUCCGGAUUUACUGGGUGUAAAGGGGGCGCAGACGGCGAUGCAAGCCAGGAGUGAAAGCCCGGGGCCCAACCCCGGGACUGCUCUUGGAACUGCGUGGCUGGAGUGCAGGAGGGGCAGGCGGAAUUCCUGGUGUAGCGGUGAAAUGCGUAGAUAUUAGGAGGAACACCAGUGGCGAAGGCGGCCUACUGGACGGUGACUGACGCUGAGGCUCGAAAGCGUGGGGAGCAAACAGGAUUAGAUACCCUUGUAA